GGCCCUGUAGGAAUAUGGAAUUGAGAUGGCCAUGUGUUGUGUUUUGAUGGACUCGCACUACACACGCUGGUGAGGGUCUUCAGCCAUGCAAGGAUUGCCUAGAGUAGGGUCAACACAGGAUAAUGGACUUCCAUGAUGUCUAGACCAGGAUGACAUGUGACUGGAUGAAUGGAGGGAGCAUCAUUUUAUAGUGUACUUAACCGCAGGGGACCACACCACUCCACAGUUCCUAUUUUGGGCAUAGAUCCUUU
Molecule: long non-coding RNA, 251 nt
Filed under: Lupinus angustifolius (narrow-leaved blue lupine)
Lineage: Eukaryota; Viridiplantae; Streptophyta; Magnoliopsida; Fabales; Fabaceae
Description: long non-coding RNA (LANG_LNC001060)
Source: RNAcentral